Long non-coding RNA from Sarcophilus harrisii (Tasmanian devil), 2338 nucleotides. RefSeq lists it as uncharacterized. Lineage: Eukaryota; Metazoa; Chordata; Mammalia; Dasyuromorphia; Dasyuridae. The transcript is spliced from 6 exons. The record is from RefSeq and is a predicted model, not a curated record.
GACAUGAAUCAUGGCAGACCAGGAAAAGACAAUGAUUUACUACUUUGAAGGGCGACCAUGUAUGUGAUUAAAGGAUAUAAGUGCAGUACUCCAAGAUUUGCUUCCUUCCUGCUCCAUCCAGCAGGGAUACCUGAGAUUUCUGGGACUGGCAUUCCUGUACUGUUUAUGGAGUUGUUUCUUCCAAGAAGUAUGGGCACCCUGAGAUGGUGCUUAUCCAUCUGGCUGUGGAAGCGUUUGUAUGCAUAUUUCCUGUGUUCUUCAGCAGACACUGGGGACAGAGAGAUUUUUAAAUGGAGGAAAAAAAGAGGGAAAUGAAAAUAACGCGAUUGAAGAAACAGAACCCUGAAAAGAAUGCUUAAUUGCUAUUACAAGCAAGGAAAGGAGCCAGGAGGCAAAAUUCAUCUGCUGAAAGAAAUUGCUCCAUUGCUCUCUCUAGAAGAAAAUUUAUCUUUGAUAUUAAACUGUUAUGAAGGAGUACAAAUGAAAGAGGAGAAAAUCUGUCAAGUAGCACUGGCUAUGAUCACCACAGUAUUUUGAGGCAGAAUGGCAAAGCUGAUCAAGGGGACAACUGGAUUCAAAUACCACUGCUGAUUCAUACUGACUGUGUGACCCUGGGAUAUUAUGCUGCCUCUUUCAGUUUGGAUGAAUUCAAAUUGGGAAUCUUUGAAGGAAGAAGAAGCACUUGAUAUGGAAGCAGAGGAUUCACAAAGGACUGUGUGCAUUGACUAUGAGAGACUUUCAAAUUUCAUCUUUUACAAGAGAUCUUGAUUUUUACGAAUCUCUUUGCCGAUCUGGUGAAACCUAUGUAUCCCAUCUCAGAAUAAUGCUUUGAAAUGUAUACAAUAAAGUAUACAGCAUUACAAAGGAAACCAAAGGAGCUAUCAAGGCCAAGUGUGACUGCCAGGAAGGAGCUGGGAGCAGCCAAAGAGGCUGAGUAUGUCAGACUUCUCUCCCAGCCUGCCACACACACUUAAAACCUAAAGGAAAUAAGCAAGGAUCAAUAGGAGGAAGGGAGCCAACCAGGUGAGCAACCACAUCUGUCUGAAGUCUAAAGGCAACAGGAAAGGAUCCCUGGCAUUUAGAUUUGUUUGGCAAGAUUGAGACAUGACCUGAGCUUACACUAAAUUACCUCACGAUGAAUUAUUUUUACCUUGCACUUUAAAUGUCAGGAUGACUCCACUGAGCUUUUUGGCUAGGGAAAGAGAGAACACAUCAAAGACUGGUAAUUAGUCUGCAGGUGUGGUUGAUGGGAUUGCAGUCAUUUGUCUCCUUUUAGCAAAGGGUUAAUUCAUGGCUUUUUCAUAAGCUGGUUUCAGUUGAUUUGGGAAAAGAACAAGAGAUUUUCCAAAGAGUUAUACGUUUCCAUUGUUUGCACGUGGGGUGUGUGUAUAUGUAUGUAUGUGUGUGUAUGUGUGUGUCUGUGUUUCCUUAGGUUCAGUCUGGGUUAGGAUUUCACUGAUUUAUUCAUGGAGAAGGGUGGAGGGAAAUCUCACUAUACCAGUCAUUGGGGUUCAUACCAUGGCGCCACUGUGCAAAUGAACUCCUUCAUAAUGUGUACUUUUGCUACUUAAAUAAGUAAAUUCCCUUGGAUAGACUCCAUGACUGCCUUGACUUAUAAUGAAUUCUGAUCAGUAGUCAAGUAAUGCUACAGCAAGAUUCCAGUGUGAUAUAUGAUUUAGCCUUUGCUCCCCUCCUUACUCAGAUUUUUCAGUUAAAUCUUAUCACUAAAUGGAGCAAGAAUAAUUAUUGUAAUUGCAGCAUGAAAGGGUUUUCAAAUCUGAAUGGCAUUUUAGAAACCUAGUUUAGCUACUCCUCCACAAGCAACAUAGAUUGUAUGAAAUACUGUUUAUUCAAAACAGCAUUAAAUGCAGUCUGAGAUAUCUUCAAAGACUAUUUUCUGAAUGAAAUGGGAUAAAAGGAAAAGAAUUCGUUAAGUGUAGAAUGCAAAUCAAUUGUCUGCUUCUUAGUACUUUCCCUAGUCUUUCUUGGAUCUUUAGAAGUAGUCUGAAUCCCAAGAUGUCUCAGAAGACAUUUUGUCAUUUGACUAUCAGUUGUUUAAAAUUUGAAAGUUUCUGAUUUUGGAUCAGUGUUAAAUUUUUUUAGUGGAUUAAGUAAAAUAAUAGGGAUUUUCAAUCUUGAAUUAUCAUGGUAGGGACUAUAUCUUGAAGACUUAAGUCUUUUUAUCCCAAAUACUUAAUUUUGUUGUUCCAAAAAAGUGAUAGAGAUUUUGAAAAGAGACCAGUGAUAUGAAUUUGGCUCCAGCUUGCUAGUUGGUGUUUGCCAACCUAUUGGGAAAAGAGGAUAAGGAAAAAUACCAAAAUACAAAAAUAAUACUGUC